CUGCAUCAGAUAACUGUUCGUGAUGGACAAAAAAAAUGUUUGUACAUUUUUAUUGAAUCUUUUAAAAAAGAUAGAGAAAGGGAUUACAGUUGCAUCACAGUCCGUUUAGUCUGAAUGCAACCACACUCUCCAAACAACAACAAAAUACAGAUGAUAGAGUGAGAAAAAGUAGCACAUAAAGUAAACAAGUAAACUUGUGCUUAUGUUGAAAAUUCCCCAUUUUGUUUUUCUUUUUGAAAAGUAUGUUUGUUUGUUUUAUGCCUUUUAUUAGACAGUCGGCAGCAGAGAGCUGACAGGAAAUAGGAGCCAGAGAGAGGAAUGACCUGCAACAAGGGUCCGAGGCUGGACUGGAAUGUUGUGAUUACACGCUUCAGGAGGGCCGGACCACUGGCUCCCUCCUCUGUGUGAAUCUGUCAGGGAAGUGUGUAUGUGUGUGUGCAUGUCUCCAUUGGGAACACUUCUUUUUAAACUUACAGCACUCUUUGGGAGCGGUGGGCAGGCUGUUUCAGAGUGUGAGAGAGGAGAGAAGACCCCUGUGGAGCUGUGAUUUGACUAAACAAACAACCGGGCUCAGAGCGGUACCUCCUCCAGCGGAGUCCCGGGACAGCGGAGAUUAACCUCAGACUCUGAACAUCUGAGGGAUCUAUACAUCUGAGGCAGCAGCCCCUGUAGAGACAACCAGCUGGAAAUCCUUCCUCUGAUUUCAGAAGGAGGAGACCGACUGCUGGCAGGCAAACUCCUCGGACAGAGAGGGAAGUCUAUGCUUCUAGGAUCUCUCUGAAGGUAAGAGGUCUUAUUUCUCUGUCAUUGUCAAGGAUUUUACUUUUAGUCAUGGAUGCUUGGCAGCUGUUGACAGAAGUAAAGAUGAACUGUACUAAGUGGUGAAAAUGUACUUAGCCUGUAUGGCAAGCCCACUGUGACAGAUUCAAUUUCAUAGCUGUCUGUCAGAGAGAGGAUGCCCCUCAUCCUCACAACUCUGUACCGUUGGUAUAACUUUGAUUUGAACUGAUACAAUAAUCAGGUUUAAAAGCUGAAGAUGAAAAGAAAUUCUGACUUGACCACUUUUCCGU
RNAcentral lists this long non-coding RNA (1070 nucleotides) under Cottoperca gobio. RNAcentral's name for it is "lncRNA (ENSCGOG00000005152.1)". The record is from RNAcentral. Lineage: Eukaryota; Metazoa; Chordata; Actinopteri; Perciformes; Bovichtidae.